GGUGGAGCGAUUUGUCUGGUUUAUUCCGAUAACGAACGAGACUCUAGCCUACUAAAUAGACAGCACUUCUUUAGAGUGCUGCACUUCUUAGAGGGACAAGCGACGUCUAGUCGCACGAGAUUGAGCAAUAACAGGUCUGUGAUGCCCUUAGAUGUUCGGGGCUGCACGCGCGCUACACUGAAGGCAUCAUCAUGCAUAUCAACCUACCCCGGAAGGGGCGGGUAACCCGAUGAAACGCCUUCGUGAUUGGGAUAGGGAAUUGCAAUUAUUUCCCUUGAACGAGGAAUUCCCAGUAAGUGCGGGUCAUCAGCUCGCGCUGAAUACGUCCCUGCCCUUUGUAC
This 341-nucleotide ribosomal RNA is filed under the name Nematoda environmental sample. RNAcentral describes it as "SSU rRNA". It matches the Rfam family "Eukaryotic small subunit ribosomal RNA", at positions 1300 to 1665 of the family's 1831-position model. The record is from RNAcentral. Lineage: Eukaryota; Metazoa; Nematoda.